Molecule: ribosomal RNA, 2016 nt
Filed under: Triticum aestivum (bread wheat)
Lineage: Eukaryota; Viridiplantae; Streptophyta; Magnoliopsida; Poales; Poaceae
Description: partial small subunit ribosomal RNA
Source: RNAcentral
AUGACCAAUAUGAAGCGUGUGUCAUUCCUUCCACCCCUCCUCCUUCCCCUAUUUGGCCUUGCCUUCGCAACCUUUGCCGCCGGCGAUGACCAGUUCAUCUUCUCCGGCUUCACACAAUCCAGCCUAGCCCUUGACGGCGGUGCCGUGGUCACACAAGGAGGCCUCCUUGAUAUGUCCAACGGCACAAACAAUAUCAAAAGCCAUGCUCUUUACCCUACUCCUUUGCGCUUCCGCAAUUCAUCCGGUGGUAAAGUGCAAUCAUUCUCGGCCACCAUCGUCUUUUGUAUCGUCGGCGCAUACCCUGGCGUGAGCGCUAAUGGCCUGGCCUUCUUCAUCGCUCCAAGCAAGAAUUUCUCGGAUGCACAGCUGACGCAGUACUUUGGGAUCCUGAAACCGAACAACAAUGACAACCUCUUUGUUAUCGAGGUUGACACCUUCCAGAACCCCGACAUGCAAGACAUCAACGACAACCACAUCGGCAUCGACAUCAACAGCGUUUUGUCCUUGCAAUCUCACGAGGCUGGCUUCUAUGAGGACUCUAGUGGCGUCUUCAAGAACUUGACGCUGAAUGCUCAAAUAGAGCUGCAGCUGUGGGUGGACUAUGAGGAGGAGGAAACAAGGAUCAAUGUGACCUUGGCUCCACUUCAUAUGGGAAAACCCUCGAGGCCACUGUUGUCCGCAGCCUAUGACCUCUCAGCCGUGCUUACAGACACGGCGUAUAUUGGUUUCUCAUCCACGGCUGAAAUUAUGAACACCCGUCAUUAUGUUCUUGGAUGGAGCUUUGGCAUGAACGGUCAAGCAGCUCCGUCCAUUGACAUCUCCAAGCUUCCAAAGGUGCCUCGUCUACGACAAAGGGCCCAGUCCAAGCUCUUGGCGAUCAUCCUCCCCAUAGCCACUGCAGCACUGAUAAUCUCUGUCGGCACCGUUGUCAUUCUGAUGGUGCGAAGAAGACGAAGGUAUAGUGAGGUGCGCGAGGAUUGGGAGGGCGAGUUCGGUCCACACCGAUUCUCGUACAAGGAUUUAUUCCAGGCCACACAAGGAUUUAAGAGCAAGAACCUAGUUGGAGCAGGAGGGUUCGGGGAGGUUUACAAAGGGGUGCUUCGGUUGUCCAAGAAGGAGAUCGCGGUCAAGAAGAUGUCCCAUGAGUCAAGACAAGGGAUGAAGGAGUUCAUCACCGAGGUUGUCAGCAUCGGCAAGCUGCGACAUCGCAACCUAGUGCAGCUACUUGGUUACUGCAGGCGGAAAGGUGAGCUGAUGUUGGUGUACGACUACAUGUCAAAUGGCAGCCUCGACAAAUACAUACACUAUCAAGAGGACGACAAGCCCACCUUAAAUUGGGCUCAGAGGUUUCAGGUCAUCAAGGGUAUCGCUACCGGCUUGCUCUACCUCCACGAGAAGUGGGAGAAAGUCGUGAUCCACCGAGACAUCAAGGCAAGCAACGUCCUCCUCGACGAUGAGAUGAACGGCCGGCUCGGUGACUUCGGCCUUGCCCGGUUAUAUGAUCAUGGCGCCGAUCCACAGAGCACACACAUGGUGGGCACGAUGGGGUACCUUGCCCCCGAGCUAGUGCGCACAGGCAAGGCGUCCCCUCGCACCGACGUGUAUGCCUUCGGCAUGUUUCUUCUCGAAGUUACAUGCGGGCAAAAGCCUAUGAAGCAAGAUGCAGAGGGAAAUCAGGUUUUCUUGGUCGACUGGGUCCUGGAGCACUGGAACAACCGGCUGCUUAGCAAGACGGUGGACGCACGGCUCCAGGGCGACUACGGCGUUGACGAAGCGUGCCUCGUGCUGAAGAUAGGACUUCUGUGCAUGCACCCCUUUCCUGGUUCAAGGCCAAGCAUGCGAGAAGUCACGCAGUACCUCGACGGCGAGACCCCGCUGCCGGAGCUGAAGACGACGCAGCUGAGCGUGGACAUGCAGGGGUUGAUGCAGGACAACGGAUUCAACACUUCUGUCAUGUCUUAUCCCCAGCUGAUGUCCAGCUUUGGGGCAGUGUCCGACCUCUCUGGAGGACGAUGA